ACAUAGGACUCAAAGUCCACGAGCAUUAAGACUCUUCACCAGCCAUCAGAUCAGAUAGGAACCUCUAAUGUGUGUGACCCCGCAGGUUCGAACCUAAGCCGGUAGCACAGGAAUCAAUUCCUGUACUAAUCGAAGUGACCAUCUAGCAAUGAUAUCCGACAUCCAGAUAGGUCGAAUAGUUGCAAUCGCAACACUCAGAACCU
RNAcentral lists this long non-coding RNA (203 nucleotides) under Elaeis guineensis (African oil palm). RNAcentral's name for it is "long non-coding RNA (EGUI_LNC067032)". Lineage: Eukaryota; Viridiplantae; Streptophyta; Magnoliopsida; Arecales; Arecaceae. The record is from RNAcentral.